AUUAUAAAUGUUGUGGUUUCGGAC
RNAcentral lists this non-coding RNA (24 nucleotides) under Arabidopsis thaliana (thale cress). Lineage: Eukaryota; Viridiplantae; Streptophyta; Magnoliopsida; Brassicales; Brassicaceae. The record is from RNAcentral.